RNAcentral lists this ribosomal RNA (502 nucleotides) under uncultured bacterium. RNAcentral's name for it is "bacterial SSU rRNA". It matches the Rfam family "Bacterial small subunit ribosomal RNA", at positions 355 to 874 of the family's 1533-position model. The record is from RNAcentral.
UGGGGAAUCUUGGACAAUGGGGGCAACCCUGAUCCAGCCAUGCCGCGUGAGUGAUGAAGGCCUUAGGGUCGUAAAGCUCUUUCGCCUGUGAAGAUAAUGACGGUAGCAGGUAAAGAAACCCCGGCUAACUCCGUGCCAGCAGCCGCGGUAAUACGGAGGGGGUUAGCGUUGUUCGGAAUUACUGGGCGUAAAGCGCACGUAGGCGGACCAGAAAGUUGGGGGUGAAAUCCCGGGGGCUCAACCCCGGAACUGCCUCCAAAACUCCUGGUCUAGAGUUCGAGAGAGGUGAGUGGAAUUCCGAGUGUAGAGGUGAAAUUCGUAGAUAUUUGGAGGAACACCAGUGGCGAAGGCGGCUCACUGGCUCGAUACUGACGCUGAGGUGCGAAAGUGUGGGGAGCAAACAGGAUUAGAUACCCUGGUAGUCCACACCGUAAACGAUGAAUGCCAGUCGUCGGGUAGCAUGCUAUUCGGUGACACACCUAACGGAUUAAGCAUUCCGCCU